Vigna radiata var. radiata (mung bean) is the source of this 4985-nucleotide RNA transcript. RefSeq lists it as uncharacterized. The record is from RefSeq and is a predicted model, not a curated record. NCBI's taxonomy places the organism in Eukaryota, Viridiplantae, Streptophyta, Magnoliopsida, Fabales, Fabaceae. The transcript has 4 exons.
CUGCCACUCUGCACUUGAUGUUCAAUUCGACCAACGCCUAAAUUGCAUUUGGGCCCUGGAAUGCUACUGCCAUACUCUGGUCAUUAGUGCAACGGUGUCGUUUUGGAGAGGCUGAAGUUGUUUCCUUAGGGGGGUCAUUCUCGUUCACGAUUUUUUAUGGGCAGAGAGCAUCCAUGUGCUAAGGUAGAAUGAAAGAGAGCUCCUUCAAAGUUAGGGCUUGGUUCGAAAGCGAGAGAAUGAAAGAGGAAGAGAAGCUUACCUUGUGCCACUUACCCGAAGGAGGUGCCCGGAGAAGAUGACCGGCGCUGCCACGUGGAUGAUCAAACGGCUAGUAGAGAGCAAGGAGGCAGAAUAAAGAGGACCGUUGGAUCAAGGUGAAGCCGGAAGCGUCAAGAACAAGUUUCACUUUUUCCUUUUCUUUCUUUCAAUUUUUUUUUUCAUUUGUUUCUGACCCUAUAAAAGGAGUUUUAUAAAUAGAAAAGAGGGAGACUGGAGAGACCGAGACACUCGAAUAGAUACUCUACAAUUUUUCAUUUUAGAUAGUUAGGGUUUUCCGUUCUUUUGGAGCGCUCAUCACGGUCGUGACAACCCGCGGUGGCUCCGAUUGCGCUUUUCGUACGAAAUGUUGGGCCGCUGCCACUGCAAUGCUUGACUGUUGUCACUGUUGCUCAUUUAAAUGGGCUGGUAUUUUAAGAUGUUAAUCGGGCUGUUGAUUGAAAGUGAAGUGGGCACGCUGCUUUUGAGAUUGGGCUGGCAGACUUUGCGCUACACUUUGCAUGGGCUGACAGCACUUUAGAGCAACGACGACGUCUGGUGCAUCAUUGCUUCCUUGGGAGUAAAGCUCGAAGACAUCUAUCAUUUGGAGAAAAGCACACUCGAGAAAGUUUUGGAAGGGAGAAAGCUUCUUUAGAGCUAGGGCUGAAGCAAAGCGGAAGAACGAGAGAGAAAAGCUCCCAAUGUUCAAGUCACUUACCCACCGGUGCGGUUCUGACCGGAGCUGACCGGACGAUGACCGGAACUGCCACGUCGGAUAAAGAUAAGGAAACGUCCAGAGCAAGUUUCUUGUUCCCUUUUUACCUCUUUUAUUUUCUUUCUCGACCCGAUAUAAAGGGCUUCUGCUUUGUACAUAGAUUUUUUGGAGACUCUUAUACAGACCGAGACACUCUGCAGUUUUCCAAUUUUUCCAGUUUUAGAUAGUUAGGGUUUUCAAUUUCUUUGCAUUUGGAGCGCUCACUCACGGUGGUGACAGCCCGUGGUGGCUCCGAUUGCGCUCUCCGUUCGGUACAUUUUUUUGUAAUUUUUGUUUCUCCUUAAUAAAAUGUUCUUUUUCUUUUAUGUGUUUUUGUUUUCUGUGUUGAGCAUUGUGAUUUUGUUGUGUUGAUUUUUUUUUUUUCGUUCUUGUGUUCUUGUGUUGUUUUGAGGAAAAUUAAGUUGAACUCGUGUGACUCUGCAAUUCUAUGAUUCCUCUGGAAUCGAAUGACUCCACAGCGAGCAUUCUUGAUCGAGAUGUCUUCUCGAGUCAGAGUUGAGUCAAUGCUUAAAGAUUCAUCAGAUUUAUAUUUCUAUUUUUUUGUUUCUAUUAUAUGAACUCUGUUUGAGAACUAUGAAGGAAAACAUCCACAAUAUUACAUCUGUUUGGAUGUAAUAGGACUCUUGAUUGGGCCUAAAUUUUCAAAAGGUCUUCUUGAGAGAUGUUAAGCUUCAUAAGAUUAAGUUCAAUUUCAGUGUUGUGUUUUCAUUUCUUGUGAAACUGUGCAUUGGUUGAAUAAUUGAGUGAGAAUUUCCACUUUUAAGUUCUGAAAUAUGAACUAAAAAGACCCCAUAGAGGGCUUAAUUUUCUCAUAAUGUCUUAAGAGGAAUUGAGACUCUUUCAUUCAAUCUAGUGCACUUUUAUCUCUGUUAUUUGAUUUUGUGUAAUAUCUUUAGUUUGUUUCUUUACUUUUUACAUUUAUGUUGAAUUGAUGUUUAGUAUAGGAUAUACUGUUCUAAUCAGUUGGAUAUUAAGUGUUCAUUUUGAUUGAAGGUCAUUUAGGUUCCUUUAUUUUGCUUUUAAUUGAAAUAGAUGUAGAAUGUUGAUUGUUUCUUCUGAAGUUUAGUUUCUUUUUUUUCUUUUACUUUAGAAUUGUGUAGAGUUAGGAUUUAUUUUGUUUUAGUUACUGUUAGAAUUUUAUGCACGGUGAAGUUCUAUCUUGUCAUGACUAUAGUUUAGAGUAGGUUUUAUUUUUUUUUACAUUUUAUUUCUUUAAUUUCCUUUUAAACAAAUUUUUCUUCUUUACUAUUUUUCUUCUCAAUUUCUUGGUUUUUAAUUAGAUUUUAUUUUCCCACCUUGCAUUAGAAUAGUAAAUAAUUAGGCAGUAAGUAAUACAAGAUUCUAUACCAAACACUUGAAACUUGAUUAGCUGAGUCUGCGGAUUGAUCCCUUGGUUGCCCUAUACUGCAUUAGUGAGGACCAGGGUUUGUUGACUUUUUGUGCGACCAAAAAGCCUUUCAACAAUGAUCCUUGCACUGACCUCAAUUUCUAUGAUAGAUUUAAUAGUGCAGUUGCUGUGUUGGUGGAGCAUAGUGAGGUUAACUUUGACAAGCGAGAGCAUGUUUUCUCUGAACUUGAACUUCCUGUUUGUUUGAGUGAGAUGCAAAAUAAUGUUGAUAAUCUUGUGCAUGUUGAAUUUGAGAAACUCUUGCCUGAUAUUCUCACUGUCAUGCCUGGUAAUUCUGAAUUGGUGGAUGAGAAUUUUGUGAAUCAUAUAAACACACCUACUAAUGGGUGUUUUAAUUUGAAUGCAUUGAAUUUUGAUGAUUUGCUUGAGGAUUUGAUGAGUGAUUCUCACAUAACUGCACAUGUUUUAUUGGAUACACAUGCUCACUUUGAGUUUGAUGUUAUGGCAGCAGAGUUAAAUGAGCAGGAAGCUACAAGCAUUAUGGCAGCCUUGGUAAAGGCAGGAGAUUUUGUCAAAAUUGCUCAAAGGGCCUUGAAUGUGCACAGCCAGCUACAGGAAGAUGUUAUUGCUGCAACAAGAUGAGUUGAAAAUGCAGAAGCAGCUGCCAUCUGAUGAGAAAGAGCUGAUGCUGCUAGAACAAAUGGUUGAGCAAGAGGAAGACCGUGCAUGGAGGGAGACUCUGCACAGAGGAGCUGGGCAUAAUGGAGAAAAACUAAUAAGCCUUUUCUUUCCCUUGCUUUUCAAUUGUAGUUAUAGAUUUGUGUUAGUAAUUUAUAUAUUAGGUAGCAUAGUAAAUAGUAGGAUAGAAAAUAUGUUAUUUUUCAUAAAAAUUAAAAGAAUCAAUUUUGAUCUUUGGCCAAUUUGAGAUUUUAUUUUUCUUGUAGUUUUGUAGUUUUAGUUUUCUUUUUCUAUUUCUGUUUCUAUACAUGUGUUCUAUUGCAUUUUCUCUUCUGUUAAUAUACAGUUGUGCUCUUUUGAUCUAGUUUUCUUAGUUCUAUUUUGUUAUGUAUAUAUCUUUGCUCAAUUUUAGCUUUUUCAAUUUUGAUUUGUAUAAGUCUGAUGCUCUUUUUCCUGUUGAUAUGUAAAUAUGUAUGAUAUGUGUUGUUAGGAACCUUACCCACUCACACAUUGAGGGCAAUGUGCUUCUUAAGUGUGGGGGUGGGAAGGUAUAGAUUUAAAAGUCUUGUUCUGUUGUAAAUAUCUCUGUUUAGCAUUAGUUUAGUAAUAAAAUAGGGGUAAUUUUUUUUUCUAAAGUUGUUUUUCCUUUAGUUUAGGUCUGGUUUAGUUAAUGUGUAAAUACCUAGUUUUUCUUUUUCUUCUUCUAUCCUUGUUUCUUGUUUUACGUUCUGUUCUAGUUUAUGUAAAUAGGAAUGGCUUUAGAUUCUUUCCCUUUCAAUUUUUUUUUCUUAGAAGCUGUUUUAGGAUUCUUUUCUUUUCCUUUUGCUGAUUUGCUUGGUAGAGCUUUAGUUUAGGUUCUUGUUGCUGUUUUAGUUCGUAAAUUUCCAGUUAGGAUCUGUCUAGGUUAUAUUCUGUUCUACUUUAGUUUGUCUAGGUUGUAAAUAGCUUAGGAAAUUCUGUUAGGUCGUUUUAGGUGCUUUUAGGUUCUGUUUCAAGCUUUUCUUCAUUCCUUUCUGAUUUUACUCAAUUUUUAGAUUCAUUUCCUUAGAUUUGAAUUGUCAAGAGUAGACUUAGCUUUAGAUUUAGGCAUAAGUAGUUCUAGCAUUGAUUUUGCAGCUUUAGUUCAUUUCAAUUCAGUAAUUUUUGCAUAGGAUGAGUAGCAAGUCAGUUUUAACAAUUUUUAACCCUUGAGAGAUUUUGGGCCAGCUUUUGUCUUUCUUGUGUGAUAACAUGCAUGUUUAGCUUUCAUUCUGAUUUUGCAUUGAUUCUUUGUUGAUGUGCUUGCUCUUGGUAACUUUAAAUAUGAUAUAUAAGUGGUCUUAGAAUGACUAAGAAAGUAAAACAUUGUAUAGCCAGGAUCUUGAGGACAAUAAAUUUUGGGAUAUGAUAAAUACUAUCUAGAAGAUAGUGCUAUUGUCACUUUUUUUUUAAGUGAGAUGACUUUUAAAGUUAAGUGGAAAAGAUCAACGGGUAUCUUGUGAUCCCAAAGUCUUGACAACCGAAGAACUGCUUUGGCAGAAGCUAGCUUCAAAUAGGCCUUAUCAACUGAACUGCAAGUGGUUUCAAAUGCACUGGAUAUAAAGUUGAGGGAUGAUUUGGAGUGGUUGAAGAAAAUCAGAAAUCACCGUGGUUUGAGGCACUACUGGGGUCUUGUGUUCGAGGAUAGCAUACCAAGACAACUGGUCGCAGGGGUAAAACUGUUGGUGUGUCUAAGAAGCGUUAAGCAGUUCAAUUUUUGCUAUGAGGAUUGAUAUUCGUUAUCGAAGCAAAUUGAGUUUUCUACUGGUUGUUUAGUGUUAUUAUGGUUUCAAUAUUUUUUCUACUUUAUCUUUUUCAUGGUGUUGAGAUUGAUUUUAUUUUAUUGAACUUGAAUUGUGCCGACGAAGUGAACGGAAAUCAAAUAAGAGUAGAAAGUGAAUUUAUUAUUAA